GGAACCUCUAAUGUGUGUGACCCCGCAGGUUCGAACCUAAACCGGUAGCACAGGAACCAAUUCCUGUACUAAUCGAAGUGACCAUCUAGCAAUGGUACCCGAUGUUCGGAUAGGUCGAAGAGUCACAAUCGCAACACUCAGAUCCUACAUGAAUAUGGUUACUGUAUAAUUCAUCCUUUUGACCCCUAUAUUUAGGAUGACUCAGGGUUAAACUGUCAACCCUGAUUAGAUCAUCCGAAUCGUGCUCAACUCAAACAGUCCUGUGACUUCUCACAAGGACUACCCUGGCCAAGGUUUUGCUAAAUUGAAACAUGACUGUACACAGCUCCUAAACUGGAGUGGUCAAUCCUAUCUUGACACACGCACCGACAAGUCAAGUACUUGACUACACCCAGCAGCCUUCCGUCACUGAAUUAGAAAUUCAGGUAGUCCAGUGCCUAAGUGCAGUGAGUUGCUUGCAAGUCACCAUGACGAUC
RNAcentral lists this long non-coding RNA (476 nucleotides) under Elaeis guineensis (African oil palm). RNAcentral's name for it is "long non-coding RNA (EGUI_LNC044239)". Lineage: Eukaryota; Viridiplantae; Streptophyta; Magnoliopsida; Arecales; Arecaceae. The record is from RNAcentral.